RNAcentral lists this ribosomal RNA (90 nucleotides) under uncultured bacterium. RNAcentral describes it as "partial 16S ribosomal RNA". The record is from RNAcentral.
AGCUGGCAAUACCUGAAGUCCGUGAGCUAACCUCUUCUCCUUGUGAGAGGCAGGAGGCAGCGGCCGAGGGUAGGGCUAGUGACUGGGACG